This is a long non-coding RNA of Myotis davidii, 626 nucleotides long. RefSeq lists it as uncharacterized. NCBI's taxonomy places the organism in Eukaryota, Metazoa, Chordata, Mammalia, Chiroptera, Vespertilionidae. The transcript is spliced from 2 exons. The record is from RefSeq and is a predicted model, not a curated record.
ACCGGAAGCGGAAGUGGUGCCCUUCCCGACUGGCUCUGCCGCUCAGCUGAGUCAGCCGGCCUGCGCACGGGCUCCAGGCUUCGCGGAAGGAACCUACCUAGUCCGGUAGGGUUCAGCCCUUGCGCCCGGAAGAGUUAAUGCUACAGAGUCUCCAGGUUGUGGAGCCUAGAAGGACCCUGCGCGCAGCUCGGCCCGUGGGAGUCGCGGUCUCGCGGCCUGGCUCUGAGGCGGUGAGCGUCGGGGUGGUUCCUAAGUCCGCUCAGGAGGCCUGCGGCCGAGUUACCGGGAGCCCCGCAGGGUAAAGGUCGCCGCCCGCUAGUCUCGCAGGGCCCUCGGCCUUACUGGCCCAGCUGGCCGCACCCGAGCUUUCGUCCCCAGCACAUCACCGCCUCGAGAAGGAAGGCUUUUUGUUCCGUUCAGGAUCAGCGGACCUGAGGUUACCCCGUUUGAGGCUGUGCAUCUCACAAUUGUUUUUUCUUGUGAGUAUGAAAAAGAGAGGGAAAUAUACAGCAUUGAAUUUGGAGGAUAAAAUGAAGAUUCUAAGUAGGAUUGAAGCUGGAUGAUCUCUUAAAAGUGUAAAGGAUGAAUUUGGAAUCAGUAAAUCAACAUUUUUAUGACAUUAAAAA